This 671-nucleotide ribosomal RNA is filed under the name uncultured archaeon. RNAcentral describes it as "bacterial SSU rRNA". It matches the Rfam family "Archaeal small subunit ribosomal RNA", at positions 99 to 754 of the family's 1478-position model. The record is from RNAcentral.
CGUGGCUAACCUGCCCUUGGGACAGAGACACCCCCGGGAAACUGGGGCUAAUCCGUGAUAGGCGAAGAACUCUGGAAUGAGUCUUCACCCAAAGGGCGUCUAGAUCAUGCUUCUAGGCGUUGCCCAAGGAUGGGGCCGCGACCGAUCAGGUUGUUGGUGAGGUAAUGGCUCACCAAGCCUAUAACCGGUGCGGGCCGUGAGAGCGGGAGCCCGGAGAUGGGCACUGAGACAAAGGCCCAGGCCCUACGGGGCGCAGCAGUCGCGAAAACUUUGCAAUACACGAAAGUGUGACAGGGUCAUCCCGAGUGCCGUCCGCUGAGGAUGGCUUUUAUCCAGUCUAGAACGCUGGAAGAAUAAGGAGAGGGCAAGUCUGGUGUCAGCCGCCGCGGUAAUACCAGCUCUCCGAGUGGUGUGGAUGUUUAUUGGGCCUAAGCAUCCGUAGCUGGCUGGGCAAGUCCCCUGUUAAAUCCACCUAUUUAAUCGUUGGUUUGCGGGGGAUACUGCUCGGCUAGGGGACGAGAGAGGCCGACGGUAUUUCCGGGGUAGGGGUGAAAUCCUAUAAUCCCGGGAAGACCACCAGUGGCGAAGGCUGUCGGCUAGAACGCGCCCGACGGUGAGGGAUGAAAGCUGGGGGAGCGAACCGGAUUAGAUACCCGGGUAGUCCCAGCUGU